This 429-nucleotide ribosomal RNA is filed under the name Acidobacteriota bacterium. RNAcentral's name for it is "Acidobacteria bacterium partial 16S ribosomal RNA". It matches the Rfam family "Bacterial small subunit ribosomal RNA", at positions 355 to 776 of the family's 1533-position model. The record is from RNAcentral. Lineage: Bacteria; Pseudomonadati; Acidobacteriota.
UGGGGAAUUUUGGACAAUGGGGGAAACCCUGAUCCAGCCAUCCCGCGUGUGCGAAGAAGGCCUUCGGGUUGUAAAGCACUUUUGGCAGGAAAGAAACGUCAUGGGUUAAUACCCCGUGAAACUGACGGUACCUGCAGAAUAAGCACCGGCUAACUACGUGCCAGCAGCCGCGGUAAUACGUAGGGUGCAAGCGUUAAUCGGAAUUACUGGGCGUAAAGCGUGCGCAGGCGGUUCGGAAAGAAAGAUGUGAAAUCCCAGAGCUCAACUUUGGAACUGCAUUUUUGACUACCGGGCUAGAGUGUGUCAGAGGGAGGUGGAAUUCCGCGUGUAGCAGUGAAAUGCGUAGAUAUGCGGAGGAACACCGAUGGCGAAGGCAGCCUCCUGGGAUAACACUGACGCUCAUGCACGAAAGCGUGGGGAGCAAACAGG